GCCCUGCAGAGGCCAAAUAAGGGUAUCGUACAUUAUUUUUUUUUAGCCUGGGGGCAGGGAGAAGCCUUUCACAGAGGCAAUAUCAGCCUCUUGCAGCUGGAGAUCUCCCGAGAGAGGAUCGGCACCAAACGGGAUCGGCACGGGCUGUUUGCAGAGCAGAGAUCCCGUGCCCAGCCCCGUGGAACAAAUCCCAGCACCGGGGGAAUAAAACCCACGGGGGGAAAAAUCGGGGGCGCAGAGCCCACGGCUCCCACCUGCUGCUCCUGCAAGGGGGAAACAACCCCUGGACCGCUGGAUUUUCUACGGACACGCACAGGAGAGGCUGAUCCCACUCGUCCCACUGCCAGGUUGGGGGCACAGCACCCCAAAACCCACAUUAGGGAUGGGUUUGCAUCCACCAGCACCAAUUUUCUCCGAGAAAACGCAGCAGUGCCAGGUCAGGCACCCAGCAGGGCUCAAUCCCUGCAGCCUGAAGGGCUUGGACGUCCCCUCAAAGAUCUUGGACAUCCCCUUGAAGGGCUUUUACAUCCCCUCGAAGGGCUUGCACAUCCCCUUGAAGGCUUUGCACGUCCCUUUUCCUGCCCAAGGGCUGCAGGAAUCCCGUCCUUCCAGCUUUCUGCCCAGGGCCGGCACCCACGAGACAUUCCUCCCUCUUUAAGAGGCUUUUCACUUUUUUUUCUUGCAAAGCCCUUAUUAAAAAGGACCAGAGCAGAACCUUCUCCCGGUCCUCUGAGCGGCCACAACCUCAGCCCUCGAGCAGCAGCAGAGCUUUCCUCUUCAGUGGCUGCUCAGAAGAGGCUCGCAGCAGCGCCGGCUGCUUUCGUUUUGCAAAACGACUGCCAGCAGGAAAUGAUGUUAAAAAAAAAAGCCAAAAAAAAACAUUUAAGGCAGGCAGCAGGUCCAAAAAGUAACUUUUUUUUUUUUUUUUUUUUGCCCUGGGAAGCCCAAGGAGGCCGAGUGCUGCCUGAACUUGCUGCAGCCACUUUGGUUAUUUGGGGGGGAGAUGACAAAUAA
RNAcentral lists this long non-coding RNA (1014 nucleotides) under Anas zonorhyncha (Eastern spot-billed duck). RNAcentral describes it as "lncRNA (ENSAZOG00000009050.1)". Lineage: Eukaryota; Metazoa; Chordata; Aves; Anseriformes; Anatidae. The record is from RNAcentral.